GUGUAGCUCAGUGGUAGAGCUCCUACCUAGCAUGUAGGAAGGCUUAGGUUUGAUCCCCAGCAC
This 63-nucleotide transfer RNA is filed under the name Marmota marmota marmota (Alpine marmot). It matches the Rfam family "tRNA", at positions 5 to 66 of the family's 71-position model. From Rfam's summary of the family: Transfer RNA (tRNA) molecules are approximately 80 nucleotides in length. Their secondary structure includes four short double-helical elements and three loops (D, anti-codon, and T loops). RNAcentral also lists the same sequence under 2 other names. Lineage: Eukaryota; Metazoa; Chordata; Mammalia; Rodentia; Sciuridae. The record is from Rfam by way of RNAcentral.